UACGUAGGGGGCAAGCGUUGUUCGGAAUUAUUGGGCGUAAAGAGCGCGUAGGCGGCUUGGCAAGUCUGGUGUGAAAUCUCACAGCUCAACUGUGAAACUGCAUCAGAAACUGCCUGGCUAGAGUGCAGGAGAGGAGAGUGGAAUUCCCAGUGUAGAGGUGAAAUUCGUAGAUACUGGGAGGAACACCGGUGGCGAAGGCGGCUCUCUGGACUGCAACUGACGCUGAGGCGCGAAAGCUAGGGGAGCAAACGGGAUUAGAUACCCGCGUA
This 269-nucleotide ribosomal RNA is filed under the name uncultured prokaryote. RNAcentral describes it as "partial 16S ribosomal RNA". It matches the Rfam family "Bacterial small subunit ribosomal RNA", at positions 524 to 792 of the family's 1533-position model. The record is from RNAcentral.